CGACCUCUCCACGGCCACCAAGAGGAAGCCCGGCAGGUCGGCGGCGGCGGCGGCGGCGGCGACGCGGAGGGCCUAUUCUCCUCGCGCUCCUUCGCCGACCCCACACUCUGCGAGGAGGCUCCUCAUCUGAUCUGAGCAAAGAGGCAAAGUAGGGAAGCACACACCUUGGUUAUUAAGCAGCAGCAGCAGAUCCAAUGCUUUGAGAGAGGAGUAGUGAGGGUGUGGACUAUGAAAGAUGAGUAGCGAGGUUGCGGUGUUGAUGUGAAGUAAAUUUGUCGUUCCUCUACCUUAUAGCUUUGUUCCCAACGUCAUAAGAUUGUGACAGAGAAUGGUCCAGAUUACAAGCAAUUACCCUAUCGAUUAGUCCUA
Molecule: long non-coding RNA, 369 nt
Organism: Triticum dicoccoides
Lineage: Eukaryota; Viridiplantae; Streptophyta; Magnoliopsida; Poales; Poaceae
Exons: 2
Source: RefSeq, a predicted model, not a curated record